This 511-nucleotide ribosomal RNA is filed under the name bacterium EP1.14. RNAcentral's name for it is "bacterial SSU rRNA". It matches the Rfam family "Bacterial small subunit ribosomal RNA", at positions 91 to 611 of the family's 1533-position model. The record is from RNAcentral.
AUCAGUGGCGAACGGGUGAGUAACACGUGAGCAACCUGCCCCUGGCUCUGGGACAACCACUGGAAACGGUGGCUAAUACCGGAUACGACUCGCCCCGGCAUCGGGUGCGGGUGGAAAGAUUUAUCGGCUGGGGAUGGGCUCGCGGCCUAUCAGCUUGUUGGUGGGGUGAUGGCCUACCAAGGCGACGACGGGUAGCCGGCCUGAGAGGGCGACCGGCCACACUGGGACUGAGACACGGCCCAGACUCCUACGGGAGGCAGCAGUGGGGAAUAUUGCACAAUGGGCGCAAGCCUGAUGCAGCGACGCCGCGUGAGGGAUGACGGCCUUCGGGUUGUAAACCUCUUUCAGCUUUGACGAAGCCCCUCGGGGUGACGGUAGGAGCAGAAGAAGCACCGGCUAACUACGUGCCAGCAGCCGCGGUAAUACGUAGGGUGCAAGCGUUGUCCGGAAUUAUUGGGCGUAAAGAGCUCGUAGGCGGUGUGUCGCGUCUGCUGUGAAAACUCAGGGCUCA